UGAUAGCAUUAACACGAUCAAUUUGGGUAUUGUAAAUCCCCAUAAAAAACUUCGAAAAAGUAAAAAAAUUACGCCAAGUACAUGAAAAAGUCGAGGACGAAAAGGAGUAUUAUCAAAUAAAAAAGAUGUGAAAUCGAAAUGAGCUACAAGUACAUAAAGAUACGAGCUUUGUGAGCGCUCACAGAGCGGGUGAGUGCUCACAAAGUGCCGGCUGCGCUCAUAAAGCGCUUAGUAAGCGGCGGCCUUUUGAAUCCACCCAAUGAGAGGGCGUCUUCUACCCCUACUCAGCGCCGUUCACUUCGUCAUCCCCACCCGAGCGGCUUAGAGCGAGAGCAGUAGUCAGUCGUCUCGUGGAAGUAAAAGUGACAAGAUGUGUUAGCCGCCGCGUCAUUAACUAGUCAUUAAGUUAAAAUACCAUUGGACAACAACUGAGAAAAUUCUCAACCAUUAUCAUUGACUUUCCCUACUCACUGCUUCUUCACUCGAGAGAGGUCAUCGUACGUUCUAUGGAAUCAAAAGUAACAACACGUGUCAAGCGGAGCGUCAUUAACAAGGGUGAGAGUUAUGCCCGUCGAUGGGGCGACACGGUUCGCUCGAGGCGCCAAAUGCGCAGGAAACGGACGCACAUGCGCGCUAACAACGGAGAACACGCGCUCGAGGACUCGCUACGCUGUGGACUUCCCCUCGUGCGCGAUGAUAGUCGAGGACUCAGAGAUGGCGUUGGUCCAGCGUGUGCGCGCGUGGACCCAACCACCUAAUCUCGGACGGCACGGAUGUCUUUCAGGGGAUGCACGAGUGAGUGUUUGUCGCCUGUGCAGGUGAUAGCAGCGCGACGGAGAAGUCAGAGUCCAGAACUAAGUCGCUGAUGCAACCGACGAUCCCCUUCACGUAUUUGCCCCCUGUUGUCCUCACGAUGUCUGGCGCACCACCUAUGGGAAUAUCCAAGGCUCGUCUCGAUAACAAGCUUUCCCUACCAAAAGCGACAAAACGCGCAGAGGGAGUUGAACUCAGAUGGCUGAACUUUCGAGGGCCUCAUUCGUAAUUACGGAAAGUUUAAACGACCGAUGCCUCUGUUCCGUAGGCUAGAAAACUUCCGUGGAACUUUUACAGGCUCGUCGAGACGGACGAGCUUCUCUACCUACUGUAUCAAUCUACCUAAAUCCAAGCCACUCCGAGACGAGGGGUUAUCGAAAACAACCCCUCACGAACGCCACCAGAGACCAGCAACGUUCAAAGAGCUAACGAAACUGCGAAUCGCAGGUUUUUCACGUAAAGUACGGCGAUAAACCGCGCACAAGGGCGAGAGAAAAAAAAAAGAGGGUGUCUCCUGUUUCGAAUGAGGCGGCGAAUGGCCCACGAUAGGGGGUGGGGGUGAAGUGGCCUCACGGUUGUGUCCACGUGUUCACGGACGCAAUGAAAAAUGCAGCGACGGAAAAAGAGCUUCGGAUAUAUUUGCAGCGACGAAGGGUCGCGAGCACGGUUCCAUUAAUGGCGCACCCCACGCGCAAUUUCACCGGGGGAUAAUGGUUUUGAACACGCUCCUACCCGUCACCACUAUUCGUCUCCCUAGUUGGUAAAAGUGCACUUUCUCCCGUUGGGCAGCACGCCCUUCAACGACGCCUGAUCCCCUGGUGGGCACUCGACUUUAGAUCGAUGCAGGACCUUUGAAAAGAAGAACUUUAUUCCUUGCAUUUAAGGGGACGCAGGGUGAAGACGAUUGUUCGGUACGAAUAGGGAAUUGUUUGGGGGUUGGAGUGGCCUGGGAGUGGCUGUUUGAGCUCCUGGGAUUCGUGAAGAUGGGAGGAUCGAGGUGAAUGUGGUGUUGCUAUGUUUGAAUAUAUUCUAGGGGUUUUUCUAGGAGUUCAUGUACUCGUAAGGGUUGAAGACUCUUGGCCAUGUUAGAAGUCUAUUAGAAGAACUAAGUCUUCAGGAAGACUUUAUUUUUUAAUUUCAUCCAUUUCUAAUAAUUUCAAAAAUCUUGUGUUUCAGGAUCUACAUCCUCUCUGCAAAUUUUCAAUUACAAUCCAUAUAAUCAUUACCUCCUAUCCCCCACACUCCAGUGAGAAUAAUUAAAACGAAUUUGUCCUCCUUCGAAACAUUUAAAAUGACCAGAUGCAAAUCGACCAGAAAUAAACCAUCUCCUGGUCGCCUGCCAACCUCUUCUUCAUCCUCUCGCCACUCAAAAUAGACACGAAAUCACGCCCCUCGUUUAUCUCACUUAUACAUCUCGCCAACUCGACACCCUAAUCACCUCCACUAGCCACUGUCGCGAUCGAAAUUAAUAGUACCGAGUCAGAAACAGCCGCGCGAUAUUUUUUUAAUCCCCGAAUCUCGCGUGGAAGACGAGCAUUACGCUCGCGUACGUCGCUGUGAAUGAAUCAUGAUUCGUCCUACUCGCCCCUGACGAUUAACAGAGUCGAUGCCAGCGGCUCGUGACACGGACACCGCCAAUAAUCGUAUGCUAAAUCGAUGGUCCAUUAGAAACAUAUGCCGUCCCCGUUGGCGUGCAACGUUUUCUCUUGAGAAUUAUCACCGGAAAUUACCAGCUCGUUUUAUUGAUUAAUACGCUCGUUUUGCGUGCUGGAUGGUGCGUGUUAUCGACACGGGAAAACUGUAGGAAAGAUACUGCGUGGACAGUUGAAGGGACACAGGGCGAUAAGUAUGGCAGAAGUAGGAUUCAAAUCGAAGAGAAUCUAUUUGUUAGAUAUUGGAGCGUUAGGAGGAAAGUUUCAGUACGUUUAAAAUAUUCAAUAAAAUGAUACUCCGCCAAAGAACUCCCUCGAGUAAAACAAAAAUGAAAAUGAACAUAGAGGUAUUCGAAAUAUAGAGUACCUCGUGGCCGCAUAAUUUUCCACGCCCCUGUACAGCAUUAACGUUUCGACCACGUAUCCCUCUCGGCUUCUAAAUUUUCACCUCGCCAGCCAGGAACACUCCGAGUCUGAGUUCCUGGUUGUUUUUCCUCGUUACGCAUAACGAAGCGGCGAAACGCCACGUAUCCGCGGCUCUACAACAGUUACCCAGAGGGUGGAAAAAACUGCCAGCGGAAGUUCCGAACAACCGACCGGUGUUUUCCCCGUGUUCUUCUCGUGGAACGACCCCAGGGCGCAAACUUCGCCAGUGGCAACGCGAACUGACGCAACUGGUGCAGUUUUCCUCGGCGGCGCACGCGGGCGGGAACGAAAAGUCCACGCGAAAUUAGCGUUCUGACAGGGAAAGUUCGAUGCUGGGUUGGCCGUUUCGGUGCUGGGGAAUUUCUUUUGUUUAUUCGGGGGGUUCCUGAUGCACCCGGCAACGCUUUGAGGGGAUGUAAGUACAGGAAGUCGCGAAAGUACUCGCGUUGGUUCAAUUGUUGACUUAAAAGCGUCGAUAUUUAAAGACAAAAAGUUGUAGUAGCCUAUAUUUGGAUAAUUCCAUAAUUCUUUCGCAGUUAUUUUGAAGUCUAACUUUGGGUUUUGCUUUCUUCUUGGAAUUUUUCAAGCAAAGCUUUGUUUGUUAACGAAUCUUCAUUUCAAUCGGCGUUAAUGAGUAUAUAAUAAUCCGCAAGUGUUUCUGAAAGUGUUUCUUUAUAUCUAAUAAUUUGUCGUCCAACCAAUUGUCAAUGUUUCGAAGUCGUCAAUUGAGAAGGUUUAAGAGUACUUUUGCGAGCGACUAUAGGAGAACACCGGAGGCUAAUUCUUCCCGAUGAUCUUUGGUCCCUCGCCAGGGGUUCUUGCGUUUCCAUUUCGCGUUUUUUUUUUUUGCGGUUCCCGAUGUCUGACAACGGUCGUUAUCGCGAAGUACCGUUCGCGCGAGAUAAAAGAAACAAGCUCGCGGAGCGAGAAAUCGUUCUUGCGCUUCUUCGUGCUCCGAGUUGUAAUGCACCGACCCUCCUGGCAAAAGUAUCCUCUUUCAAGCUUAAUCUUCCCCCGCGUUAAGUUCGUUACUGGUUUUUUCUACGUGCAAUUUAUUGUGUAACAUCUGAAUUCUAACCAUUUAUGUCGGAGGUUUUUUUUUUUUCGUACUUUUCGAAAGAUGCCACUGUAAGAUAGAAAAAGAAUUCUGGGCUCUGAGAAUUAUAAACGAAAGAUGUUUGUUACAUUUAUAACGAUUAAUUCAAAACUGAAUCGCUAUUGUUGAUUGAAUUCUCUCGUUGAGUGUAACAUAACAAUCCACUCGUCAUGGAACUCGGUAAUUUUCAGGUAAAAAUCGUCGGAUACGCGAAUGCAAAGCAGAAAUCGAUUGGCAACAAUUCUCAGGGAUUCUUUUUGUCCCAUCUCUGUUCGCGGGUUCGGAAAUGACCGUUCGUCGCUCGACAGUCGGACAUUGUGCAAACUUGGCCGACGCGUCGAAUGAAGCGCGGCUUUAUUGCCAGGGACAAUGCGACCGUACGCGUUUACACGCGUCUACUAAAUAACGGAAGCUUUACCGACCGUGAAUUUCCAUAAGAGACGACCGUGUCCAAUUCAUUACUCCUCAGAUCGUUUCCCGUCCGCGGAGCGUGGCCAAUUUUCUCGUCGGGAUUUUCACCAGGAAGAGCAAACUUCCACGACAACGUUCUGAAAAUCGAGGACUGCGUUCUUUACGAUUCGAAAACACUAGUCGUUUAUUUUAUGCAAUUGGCGGGGCAACGUACCAAGGACAUUUCUGUAGGGACCAAUUUAGUCUACAGAUCACGGUUUUGAACGGGUAUUGAAAUAUACGGGUACACGGAACACGUGUAUUAAGAGAUUAAGAACACGGGUAUUUUUAAUACACUGGUACUACCCGGGUAUUGAAAUACGCUGACGCCUGGAUAUCUAAAUAUACGGGUAUCUGCAUCGAAAUACACGGGACACAUACAUCGAAAUAUACGGGUACAGUAUCCAAUUAGUUUUACAUACAAACUUUUAUGUAAAAGAAAGCUUUUAUUCUAAAAUAACGAUCCUUAUUAAUUUCGAAAAAAUUGAUAAGCAAUCAAACAAAGAAAUGAAAAAAAUAUAAACAUAAGACGAAUAAAUAUAACAUAAUAAAUUUUUUAGUGUACUUUGUAAAACUUUAUUUAUUAGUUAAAAUAAAGGUUCAAGUAAAUGUCGUACCCGCGUAUUUCGAUGCACGUGAAUCAGGGAUCUCUACAAUUUACCCUCUGACUACGAAGGGCGAAUUUAACGCAGGGGAUGAUCAACUUUGAAAGAUGAUGUUUUCGCCAGUCCGUAUUGUAGCAAUUGCGAGACAACUAUCGCCCGCGGAGGAAUCCCGUGUUUCAAGUUCUUGUUGAGGUGUAAUUGAUACGCGGGCCACGAUAGCAUCUAAUUAGAGCGGCGCAUCGACUCGUUAGGUGUCGGAAUUAUGGGAAACUGUAAGCGGGACCGGGACAGGCGUAAUCCGUGUGCCGCAUGUGCAGCACAUGCACCUGUGGCGCACCCUGCAUAACGUACCUAAUCGAUUGACUAUCCGCUGUGACGCGACAAAUUGUGUUUGUACGAGCCUCCCCCCGUUGCAUUAUGCCGGGAACAAUAUUCGAGGACAUCGUGUCUCCUUCUGCCUCUGAUCCGCAGUGUGCUUCCUUUCCUAUCGUUUGUUGUAUGAACAAAAUUAUAGAAGCCUGUACAACGAGUAUAGAUAUGUCAUGUUUAACGUUAAACUAGUUUUACUUGAAAUUAUAUUUACUUCAUUCGUUAUAGAUUUGAUUGAAUUUUAUUUGAAUUGGGAGCCAGAACGAAUGAUUAUUCUGUAGAGAUUAUAUUAUAGAAACAAGCUCGUGAUAUGAAUAUCAAAACUUGGGGAAUCGUGAGCAAGAAACUCUUUUCUUUUUUUUUUUUU
Molecule: long non-coding RNA, 5778 nt
Organism: Hylaeus volcanicus
Lineage: Eukaryota; Metazoa; Arthropoda; Insecta; Hymenoptera; Colletidae
Exons: 7
Source: RefSeq, a predicted model, not a curated record